AGCAGCCGCGGUAAUUCCAGCUCCAAUAGCGUAUAUUAAAGUUGUUGCAGUUAAAAAGCUCGUAGUUGAAUUUCGGAAUCAAUAUGUUGGUCGUGCCUUGGUACGUACUAAUUUAUUGGUUUCUUCCUUCUGACGAACCAUGAUGUCAUUAAUUUGGUGUCUUGGGGAAUCAGGACUGUUACUUUGAAGAAAUUAGAGUGUUUAAAGCAGGCUCACGCUUGAAUACAUUAGCAUGGAAUAAUGAAAUAGGACGUUUGAUUCUAUUUUGUUGGUUUCUAGGAUCGACGUAAUGAUUAAUAGGGAUAGUUGGGGGCAUUAGUAUUCAAUUGUCAGAGGUGAAAUUCUUGGAUUUAUUGAAGACUAACUACUGCGAAAGCAUUUGCCAAGGAUGUUUUCAUUAAUCAAGAACGAAAGUUAGGGGAUCGAAGACGAUCAGAUACCGUCGUAGUCUUAACCAUAAACUAUGCCGACUAGGGAUCGGAUGAUGUAAUUUUAANGACUCAUUCGCGCUUAAC
Molecule: ribosomal RNA, 515 nt
Filed under: uncultured Glomus
Lineage: Eukaryota; Fungi; Glomeromycota; Glomeromycetes; Glomerales; Glomeraceae
Description: SSU rRNA
Rfam family: Eukaryotic small subunit ribosomal RNA
Source: RNAcentral